CCUACGGGUGGCAGCAGUGAGGAAUAUUUGUCAAUGGGCGAGAGCCUGAACCCGCCAAGUCGCGUGAAGGAUGAAGGAUCUAUGGUUUGUAAACUUCUUUUAUAUGGGAAUACAGUGAGGAACGUGUUCCUUUUUAUAUGUACCAUAUCAAUUAGCAUCGGCUAAAUCCGUGCCAGCAGCCGCGGUAAUACGGAGGGUGCGUGCGUUAUCCGGAUUUAUUGUGUUUAAAGUGUGCGUAGGUGGUUAAGUAAGUCAGCGCUGAAAUUCUGUGGCUCAACACUAAGAUUGCCGUUGAUACUUGUUAACUAGAGUAUGUUUGAGGUAAGCGGAAUGCGUGGUGUAGCGGUGAAAUGCAUAGAUAUAACGCAGAACUCCGAUUGCGAAGGCAGCUUACUAAACUAUAACUGACACUGAAGCACGAAAGCGUGGGGAGCAAACAGGAUUAGAUACCCUAGUAGUC
RNAcentral lists this ribosomal RNA (460 nucleotides) under uncultured bacterium. RNAcentral's name for it is "partial 16S ribosomal RNA". It matches the Rfam family "Bacterial small subunit ribosomal RNA", at positions 338 to 795 of the family's 1533-position model. The record is from RNAcentral.